UGUAACAAUUACAAUUUAACAGCAUCAGUCGAGAGGGAAAAACUUCCUCUCUAACAAGGAAGAAACCAGCAGAACCAGGCUGAAUGUGGGCGGCCAUCUGCCUCAAUCGGUUGGGGUGAGGGGAGAGUGAGAGAGAAAAGCACAGCAACAACAACAAGCAACAACAGAGCACAGGCAGGAUGGCUGUUUUUAUUAUUAACUUACUGUUACUUUGUUCUGUAGGAGGAACCAUUUUGAGUGGGUGGCGGCUGUAGAGAACAUGCAGAGAGGCGCGUAAGACUGCGACUCUGCGUCCUGGGCUCCACUCUGAGUUGUCACAGUGUAGGGAGAGUAAGCAACAUGGCCAUGUUACUAGAGAGUAGAGAGGCUCUGUCCAACGUGGGGUGUCUCUUCAGCCCAGGUUUUCCCCAAAAAGUGCCCCAAUUAGCCACAAAGCCCACAUCGUUUGCAGGACACCACCUAGACAGCCAGCGGUGGAGCGAUGACAGCCGGAGAAAACUACAGUACUGGUACUAGUACUAGUAACACUAGAUUUAAGAGGCAGGGAAUGUGUGCAGCCAGUGGCUGGGCCUUGAGGAAGAGGUUCCACCUAUUUUAUUAAACUAUCAUAUUUAAAAGCACUCCUGAAUUUGGAUUAAACUAUACUCUACUCUUUUCAUCAAGCUCAAAGUUCUAUCACAUCUUAACACAAUUAAAAUGUAAUGAUUAUUCUGACAUUUAAAUCAAUAUGAGAUGGUGUGAGUUUGAAAAUGCAUCUGAGAGUGCAUGGGUUCACGUAUGAUUGACUAGUUCUUUGUGACAGAGUUUGUGGUAGUGUGUGUUGAUGUAUGUGUGGGUGUGGGUGUGCGUCUGUGUCUGUGUGAGUACGUAUGCAUGUGGUGCGGUCUGCCUGGGUGGUCUCUUUUCUACCGGCCCCCACCAAUUGCCCCCCAAUUUGUGUUCCGGGGGGAGUGUUUGCCCCUGGUUCUCAUCCCUGGCUGCUGCAGCUCUGCCUGGGGGGGUUCUGUGUGUGGGCGGUUCCACCACCUGUUUCUUAUAAUCAGCCUGUGUAUAUAGUCACCAGUACUCACCUUAGUCCCCAGAUUGUUUGCUCAUACCGUGACAACUCUCCAGCGCUUACCAGUAAGUCUUGCGGUCUACCAGUUUUCUACCUGUUGUUUUGA
Molecule: long non-coding RNA, 1163 nt
Filed under: Betta splendens (Siamese fighting fish)
Lineage: Eukaryota; Metazoa; Chordata; Actinopteri; Anabantiformes; Osphronemidae
Description: lncRNA (ENSBSLG00000008513.1)
Source: RNAcentral